AACCUACCUUUCAGUUCGGGAUAACAGUUGGAAACGACUGCUAAUACCGUAUACGCCCUCCGGGGGAAAGGUCAGCCGCUGAAAGAGGGGCCCGCGUCUGAUUAGCUUGUUGGUAGGGUAAAAGCCUACCAAGGCUACGAUCAGUAGCUGGUCUGAGAGGAUGAUCAGCCACACUGGGACUGAGACACGGCCCAGACUCCUACGGGAGGCAGCAGUCGGGAAUAUUGGACAAUGGAGGAAACUCUGAUCCAGCAAUGCCGCGUGUGUGAUGAAGGCCCUAGGGUUGUAAAGCACUUUCAACGGUGAAGAUGAUGACGGUAGCCGUAGAAGAAGCCCCGGCUAACUUCGUGCCAGCAGCCGCGGUAAUACGAAGGGGGCGAGCGU
RNAcentral lists this ribosomal RNA (384 nucleotides) under uncultured bacterium. RNAcentral describes it as "bacterial SSU rRNA". It matches the Rfam family "Bacterial small subunit ribosomal RNA", at positions 123 to 541 of the family's 1533-position model. The record is from RNAcentral.